RNAcentral lists this ribosomal RNA (252 nucleotides) under uncultured bacterium. RNAcentral describes it as "partial 16S ribosomal RNA". It matches the Rfam family "Bacterial small subunit ribosomal RNA", at positions 524 to 776 of the family's 1533-position model. The record is from RNAcentral.
UACGGAGGAUGCGAGCGUUAUCCGGAUUUGUUGGGUUUAAAGGGUGCGUAGGCGGGCUUUUAAGUCAGCGGUAAAAAUUCGGGGCUCAACCCCGUCCGGCCGUUGAAACUGGGGGUCUUGAGUGGGCUAGAAGAAGGCGGAAUGCGUGGUGUAGCGGUGAAAUGCAUAGAUAUCACGCAGAACCCCGAUUGCGAAGGCAGCCUUCCGGCGCCCUACUGACGCUGAGGCACGAAAGUGCGGGGAUCGAACAGG